This 960-nucleotide ribosomal RNA is filed under the name uncultured beta proteobacterium. RNAcentral's name for it is "bacterial SSU rRNA". It matches the Rfam family "Bacterial small subunit ribosomal RNA", at positions 45 to 997 of the family's 1533-position model. The record is from RNAcentral. Lineage: Bacteria; Pseudomonadati; Pseudomonadota; Betaproteobacteria.
UGCUUUACACAUGCAAGUCGAACGGCAGCACGGGAGCUUGCUCCUGGUGGCGAGUGGCGAACGGGUGAGUAAUGCGUCGGAACGUACCGAGUAAUGGGGGAUAACGCAGCGAAAGCUGUGCUAAUACCGCAUACGCCCUGAGGGGGAAAGUGGGGGAUCGCAAGACCUCACGUUAUUCGAGCGGCCGACGUCUGAUUAGCUAGUUGGUGAGGUAAUGGCUCACCAAGGCGACGAUCAGUAGCGGGUCUGAGAGGAUGAUCCGCCACACUGGAACUGAGACACGGUCCAGACUCCUACGGGAGGCAGCAGUGGGGAAUUUUGGACAAUGGGGGCAACCCUGAUCCAGCCAUUCCGCGUGAGUGAAGAAGGCCUUCGGGUUGUAAAGCUCUUUCAGCUGGAAAGAAACGGUGAGCUCUAACAUAGCUUGCUAAUGACGGUACCAGCAGAAGAAGCACCGGCUAACUACGUGCCAGCAGCCGCGGUAAUACGUAGGGUGCGAGCGUUAAUCGGAAUUACUGGGCGUAAAGCGUACGUAGGCGGCCUAUUAAGCAAGAUGUGAAAGCCCCGGGCUCAACCUGGGAAUGGCAUUUUGAACUGGUGGGCUAGAGUUUUGAAGAGGGUGGUAGAAUUUCCAGUGUAGCGGUGAAAUGCGUAGAUAUUGGAAGGAAUACCAGUGGCGAAGGCGGCCACCUGGUCAAAAACUGACGCUGAGGUACGAAAGCGUGGGGAGCAAACAGGAUUAGAUACCCUGGUAGUCCACGCCGUAAACGAUGUCAACUAGUUGUUUGUCUUAUAAACAAGGUGAGUAGCGCAGCUAACGCACUAAGUUGACCGCCUGGGGAGUACGGCCGCAAGGUUAAAACUCAAAUGAAUUGACGGGGGCCCGCACAAACGGUGGAGCAUGUGGUUUAAUUCGAUGCAACGCGAAGAACCUUACCAUCCCUUGACAUCCAGUGAAUC